This 478-nucleotide ribosomal RNA is filed under the name uncultured bacterium. RNAcentral's name for it is "bacterial SSU rRNA". It matches the Rfam family "Bacterial small subunit ribosomal RNA", at positions 335 to 798 of the family's 1533-position model. The record is from RNAcentral.
ACUCCUACGGGAGGCAGCAGUGGGAAUAUUGCACAAUGGGGCAGCCAAGCCUGAUGCAGCCAUGCCGCGUGAUAGUCGAAGAAGGGCCUUCGGGUUGAUAAAGCACUUUCAGUAGGGAGGAAGGUAGUGUAGUUAAUAGCUGCAUUAUUUGACGUUAGCGACAGAAGAAGCACCGGCUAACUCCGUGCCAGCAGCCGCGGUAAUACGGAGGGUGCGAGCGUUAAUCGGAAUUACUGGGCGUAAAGCGCAUGCAGGUGGUUUGUUAAGUCAGAUGUGAAAGCCCGGGGCUCAACCUCGGAAUUGCAUUUGAAACUGGCAGACUAGAGUACUGUAGAGGGGGGUAGAAUUUCAGGUGUAGCGGUGAAAUGCGUAGAGAUCUGAAGGAAUACCGGUGGCGAAGGCGGCCCCCUGGACAAAGACUGACGCUCAGAUGCGAAAGCGUGGGGAGCAAACAGGAUUAGAUACCCUGGUAGACUGU